This 460-nucleotide ribosomal RNA is filed under the name uncultured bacterium. RNAcentral describes it as "partial 16S ribosomal RNA". It matches the Rfam family "Bacterial small subunit ribosomal RNA", at positions 338 to 795 of the family's 1533-position model. The record is from RNAcentral.
CCUACGGGGGGCAGCAGUGAGGAAUAUUGGUCAAUGGGCGAGAGCCUGAACCAGCCAAGUCGCGUGAGGGAAGACGGUCCUACGGAUUGUAAACCUCUUUUGCCGGGGAGCAAGAAGCGCCACGAGUGGUGCAUCGAGAGUACCCGAAGAAAAAGCAUCGGCUAACUCCGUGCCAGCAGCCGCGGUAAUACGGAGGAUGCGAGCGUUAUUCGGAAUCACUGGGCGUAAAGAGCGCGUAGGCGGGAUAGCAAGUCAGAUGUGAAAUCCUAUGGCUUAACCAUAGAACUGCAUUUGAAACUGUUAUUCUAGAGUAUGGGAGAGGUAGGUGGAAUUCGUGGUGUAGGGGUAAAAUGCGUAGAGAUCAAGAGGAAUACUGAUUGCGAAGGCGACAUGCUAGAACAUAACUGACGCUGAUGCGCGAAAGCGUGGGGAGCAAACAGGAUUAGAUACCCUGGUAGUC